GACGAACGCUGGCGGCGUGCUUAACACAUGCAAGUCGAACGGGCCCGCCCCUGUUUUUGGGGGUGGGUUGAGUGGCGAACGGGUGAGUAUCACGUGAGUAACCUGCCCCCUGCUCCUGGAUAACUGCUUGAAAGGGCGGCUAAUACGGGGUGUGCCGGCUGGUCCGCAUGGGCCUGGUCGGGAUAGUUUCAUCUUCGGGUGUUUCGGUGGGGGAUGGGCUCGCGGCCUAUCAGCUUGUUGGUGGGGUGAUGGCCCACCAAGGCGGUGACGGGUAGCCGGCCUGAGAGGGUGGGCGGCCACAGUGGGACUGAGACACGGCCCAGACUCCUGCGGGAGGAAGCAGUGGGGGGUAUUGCACAAUGGGCGGAAGCCUGAUGCAGCGACGUCGCGUGAGGGAUGGAGGCCUUCGGGUUGUGAACCUCUUUCUCCGGUGGUGAAGGCCCUGUCCGUUGCGGCGGGGUUGACGGUAGCCGGGUAUGAAGCGCCGGCUAACUACGUG
RNAcentral lists this ribosomal RNA (499 nucleotides) under uncultured bacterium. RNAcentral describes it as "partial 16S ribosomal RNA". It matches the Rfam family "Bacterial small subunit ribosomal RNA", at positions 28 to 507 of the family's 1533-position model. The record is from RNAcentral.